This is a long non-coding RNA of Salvia miltiorrhiza (redroot sage), 418 nucleotides long. RefSeq lists it as uncharacterized. The transcript is spliced from 3 exons. NCBI's taxonomy places the organism in Eukaryota, Viridiplantae, Streptophyta, Magnoliopsida, Lamiales, Lamiaceae. The record is from RefSeq and is a predicted model, not a curated record.
ACACAACACCUAAAACACACACUAAACUCACGCAUAACACCAUUGUUGAGGAGUUGGAGCUUUUGACCUCCGAUUUGAGCACCGAGACGAGCGCCGAUCAUCUUUUCGAUCACGUAUCUAAGUAGGUCCUUUUGGGAAGUAACGACUUGAGGGAGAGAGUGACGUUACUCAUUGAUACAGAGACACAACGAGGUUGAGCUGAUGUGAUGAUGGUGCUGCAAUGAGCGGAGUCUCCAGGGUUGUUAAUAAAUAGUUAACCUGUCUAGAAUAUGUCUUCAUACAUAUGUCUAGCUACUUUCCGCUGCAAGAUGUUGUUGAUGUUAUAGUAUGUUAUGUCAUACUUUGAGUCUUAAGAGAAUGGUUUCAUACGAUGUAUAACUUGAUUAAUGAUAUUAAUUAAGUUUUAUGCUGUCUUUCA